GUCCAGACUCCUACGGGAGGCAGCAGUGGGGGAUAUUGCACAAUGGGGGAAACCCUGAUGCAGCGACGCCGCGUGGGCGAAGAAGUAUUUCGGUAUGUAAAGCCCUAUCAGCAGGGAAGAAGAAAUGACGGUACCUGAGUAAGAAGCACCAGCUAAAUACGUGCCAGCAGCCGCGGUAAUACGUAUGGUGCAAGCGUUAUCCGGAUUUACUGGGUGUAAAGGGGGCGCAGACGGCGAUGCAAGCCAGGAGUGAAAGCCCGGGGCCCAACCCCGGGACUGCUCUUGGAACUGCGUGGCUGGAGUGCAGGAGGGGCAGGCGGAAUUCCUGGUGUAGCGGUGAAAUGCGUAGAUAUCAGGAGGAACACCGGUGGCGAAGGCGGCCUGCUGGACUGCAACUGACGUUGAGGCCCGAAAGCGUGGGGAGCAAACAGGAUUAGAUACCCGAGUAGC
This 450-nucleotide ribosomal RNA is filed under the name uncultured bacterium. RNAcentral describes it as "bacterial SSU rRNA". It matches the Rfam family "Bacterial small subunit ribosomal RNA", at positions 329 to 794 of the family's 1533-position model. The record is from RNAcentral.